UGUAAACCCUUUUAUUGGACCCAACUGUAGUUGUGGGGGAUCGGAUCGUAAUCUGCCCUACCGAGUUCAGUGCCAGAUACCUCUGAACCAACUGGCAGUGGGUUCUGCUUUUCUUUUUCUUUUUCUUUUUGUAGCAAUUUUUUACAAUCCUUUGGUUUAAACGACUUUGUGAGGGUCACCUAUACCGGAGGUGCCUUUUUGCUUUAUUUUUUGUUUUGUUU
RNAcentral lists this long non-coding RNA (221 nucleotides) under Lathyrus oleraceus (garden pea). RNAcentral's name for it is "Pisum sativum (pea) long non-coding RNA (PSAT_LNC009900)". Lineage: Eukaryota; Viridiplantae; Streptophyta; Magnoliopsida; Fabales; Fabaceae. The record is from RNAcentral.